This 468-nucleotide ribosomal RNA is filed under the name uncultured bacterium. RNAcentral's name for it is "partial 16S ribosomal RNA". It matches the Rfam family "Bacterial small subunit ribosomal RNA", at positions 28 to 507 of the family's 1533-position model. The record is from RNAcentral.
GGCGAACGCUGGCGGCGUGCUUAACACAUGCAAGUCGAACGGAAAGGCCCUGCUUUUGUGGGGCGCUCGAGUGGCGAACGGGUGAGUAACACGUGAGUAACCUGCCCUUGACUUUGGGAUAACUUCAGGAAACUGGGGCUAAUACCGGAUAGGAGCUCCUGCUGCAUGGUGGGGGUUGGAAAGUUUCGGCGGUUGGGGAUGGACUCGCGGCUUAUCAGCUUGUUGGUGGGGUAGUGGCUUACCAAGGCUUUGACGGGUAGCCGGCCUGAGAGGGUGACCGGCCACAAUGGGACUGAGAUACGGCCCAGACUCCUACGGGAGGCAGCAGUGGGGAAUAUUGCACAAUGGGCGGAAGCCUGAUGCAGCAACGCCGCGUGCGGGAUGACGGCCUUCGGGUUGUAAACCGCUUUCGCCUGUGACGAAGCGUGAGUGACGGUAAUGGGUAAAGAAGCACCGGCUAACUACGUG